GAUGAAGAACGCAGCGAAAUGCGAUAAGUAAUGUGAAUUGCAGAAUUCAGUGAAUCAUCGAAUCUUUGAACGCACCUUGCGCUCCUUGGUAUUCCGAGGAGCAUGCCUGUUUGAGUGUCAUUAAUAUAUCAACCUUCUCUUUUUUGGGUUGUUUGGAUGUGGGGGUUUGCUGGCCUCUUAAAUGAUUCAGCUCCCCUGAAAUGCAUUAGCAGAACAACCUGUUCAUUGGCGUGAUAAUUAUCUAUGCUAUUGAAUGUGAGGGCAGUUCAGCUUUCUAACCGUCCUUGGACAAUUCAUCAUUAAUGUGACCUCAAAUCAGGUAGGACUACCCGCUGAACUUAAGCAUAUCAAUAAGCGGAGGA
This 362-nucleotide unclassified non-coding RNA is filed under the name soil metagenome. Its description in RNAcentral is "partial contains 5.8S ribosomal RNA, internal transcribed spacer 2, and large subunit ribosomal RNA". The stretch from base 1 to 120 matches the Rfam family "5.8S ribosomal RNA", at positions 35 to 154 of the family's 154-position model. The record is from RNAcentral.